Ictalurus punctatus (channel catfish) is the source of this 1714-nucleotide long non-coding RNA. RefSeq lists it as uncharacterized. The transcript has 3 exons. The record is from RefSeq and is a predicted model, not a curated record. NCBI's taxonomy places the organism in Eukaryota, Metazoa, Chordata, Actinopteri, Siluriformes, Ictaluridae.
CACUUCACUCUUAACCACACACAGGUGUAGCCACUCAUUCAUUACCCGCUCGUUCUCUGUGACACAUCUUCCCAUUUACAGCCAGCACUUGACCACAACUACACUUCCACAGUUGCAACCAUACGAAGUCAUAAAGAACUCAAAAGGAUAUGGCUCAACUGCGAUACUUCCUAGAGGAGGCCAUCCACCAAACGUCAGUGAACGAGUAAGGAGGGCAUCAUUGGGAGGCAGGUUCUGCUGUAAUAGACGUUUAUCCAUUCAGUCACGGCUCUCCACGCUGACUUAAUAAACCGAAUGUACAAGAGAGUGUAGCCUGGAGUGAAGAGCGGCUCGGAUGGAAAUGAAUCAGCCUCGGCUCCGGGUUUCUUCGGCUGGAACUCGUCCACAUCCAGCCUGUGGUACAGGAGCUUGUUUCAGGAGUGUGCUGAAGUCUGUUUUUCUCCAUGAUUAUCACAGCCUCUCUGUGUAGGACACUACAGAAUGAUAUUCACGACAAGAGUGACAAGUGAUGCGUGUUAAAGCCGAAGUUGAAGCUGUUGGAGUAAAUCCAUGUGAUAGCAAUCACCAUCACCGUGAUAUCAUAUUUGGUAACAGUUUAUUUUAAGGGGGCCUACUGUAAACCAGGCCUGUGGUGAAUUCUUGAAUCUGAUUGGUCAGAAGGUGUUGAUUUAAUGUGCUAUAACGGCACUUCUGAUAAUAGUGCAGCUGCGUUAAUGUGCUCAUUCUAAUAUGUUCUCAUUUCUAUAGUAACAGCUCAUUUAUAGGGAACACUCACAGGGACACCACAUAAUCGUCCACGUACAGUGGUGCUUGAAAGUUUGUGCACCCUUUAGAAUUUUCUAUAUUUCUAGGUGAAUAUGACUUAAUAUUAUACUCUGUCAUUAAUUUAUUGUGGGAUAUGAUCCAAUAUUACAUAUGUGUGGCAAAAGUAUGUGAACCUCUAGGAUUAGCAGUUCAUUUGAAGGUGAUAGGCAGGUGUUUUCAAUCAAUCAGUGCGACGUCCCAAAGUGAUCUGAAUCUAUGCACAGAUUCAAUGUCCUAUUUAUACAGUCUUAUAUUUAGGUCACGCGCAAUUAUCUCAUUCUUUUGUGUUUCUUUACGGACAGUAAAUCAUAUCAAAGUUAAAUAUCAUUGUGAGAUAUUUCUACAUGCUUGAUCAUUGCUAAGGCGACAGAAGAGAAGUGAAGACAAAGGACUUUUUUGGAGACAAGCUCCAUGUAACUAUCUGACUAUGAAGACGUUAAUUAAAUCAAGGAAUCUUGUAACAGAGAGCUGAACAGUUUGUAUGUAACAGGCAAAAAAAAAAAUAGUACUUGUCUAAUUGAUCAUGCAUUUCAUGUCAUCGCAAGCCAGCGACUCCAUUUCCCAGAAUGCUGCAUUAAGUACAAACAUGGCGGAAGACAACUACACUUCCCAUACACUCACACGGUGUUCUAAUUAGAGACAACUGUUCCCAAUUACACUGACGAUCCCACCACACUAUAUAAGAGACUCUCUCUCUCACACGCACGCGCACACACACACAGAGAGCAAAUUGCGAAGUCUAUGCUCAGUUGUGGUUUGUCUUUGCCAUUACCAAGCCUUGAUACCGUGUUUGUUUUUCAGGUUUUGAUAUCGUUCACGUUCCUGACCUUGUCUCUUUACCUUGCCUGGUUUGAACUGUUUGCCUGAUUGAUUGACCCUUGGCUGUCCAUGUGUAUUGAUUUCUGCCUGA